RNAcentral lists this ribosomal RNA (301 nucleotides) under uncultured bacterium. RNAcentral describes it as "partial 16S ribosomal RNA". It matches the Rfam family "Bacterial small subunit ribosomal RNA", at positions 509 to 807 of the family's 1533-position model. The record is from RNAcentral.
CAGUAGCCACGGUAAUACGUAGGUGGCAAGCGUUGUCCGGAAUUAUUGGGCGUAAAGGGCUCGCAGGCGGUUUCUUAAGUCUGAUGUGAAAGCCCCCGGCUCAACCGGGGAGGGUCAUUGGAAACUGGGAAACUUAAGUGCAGAAGAGGAGAGUGGAAUUCCACGUGUAGCGGUGAAAUGCGUAGAGAUGUGGUGGAACACCAGUGGCGAAGGCGACUCUCUGGUCUGUAACUGACGCUGAGGAGCGAAAGCGUGGGGAGCGAACAGGAUUAGAUACCCCGGUAGUCCCUGUCUCUUAUAC